ACAUGCAGGUGAUCGCCGUUGAAAGACGGUUUCCUCUUCGGAGGCACCUGCACAGGUGCUGCAUGGCUGUCGUCAGCUCGUGUCGUGAGAUGUUGGGUUAAGUCCCGCAACGAGCGCAACCCUUAUCCCUAGUUGCCAUCAGGUAAAGCUGGGAACUCUGGGGAGACUGCCGGUGAUAAACCGGAGGAAGGCGGGGAUGACGUCAAGUCCUCAUGGCCCUUACAUCCCGGGCUACGCACGUGCUACAAUGGCAGGUACAGAGGGCUGCGAAGCCGCGAGGUGGAGCGAAUCCCAGAAAACCUGUCUCAGUCCGGAUUGAAGUCUGCAACUCGACUUCAUGAAGGCGGAAUCGCUAGUAACCGCGAAUCAGCAGGUCGCGGUGAAUACGUUCCCGGGCCUU
RNAcentral lists this ribosomal RNA (400 nucleotides) under uncultured Latescibacterota bacterium. RNAcentral's name for it is "bacterial SSU rRNA". It matches the Rfam family "Bacterial small subunit ribosomal RNA", at positions 984 to 1382 of the family's 1533-position model. The record is from RNAcentral. Lineage: Bacteria; Pseudomonadati; Candidatus Latescibacterota.